UAAGGAUGUUGAGCAUCUUUUCAUGUAUUUGUUGGCCAUUUGUAAACUUCUUAGGAGAAAUGUCAAUUCAGCUCCUUUGCCCAUCUUUAAAUUGGAUUAUUUGUUUGUGUAAUGUUGAGUUUU
Non-coding RNA from Ceratotherium simum simum (southern white rhinoceros), 123 nucleotides. Lineage: Eukaryota; Metazoa; Chordata; Mammalia; Perissodactyla; Rhinocerotidae. The record is from RefSeq and is a predicted model, not a curated record.